RNAcentral lists this transfer RNA (86 nucleotides) under Thermochaetoides thermophila DSM 1495. RNAcentral describes it as "Chaetomium thermophilum var. thermophilum DSM 1495 tRNA-Leu". Lineage: Eukaryota; Fungi; Ascomycota; Sordariomycetes; Sordariales; Chaetomiaceae. The record is from RNAcentral.
AUGGGUGUGCUGGAAUUGGUAGACAGGUUCCGUUUAGGCCGGAAUGGUGGUAAAAGACCAUGCAAGUUCAAGUCUUGUUGCCCAUA